Molecule: long non-coding RNA, 7521 nt
Filed under: Carica papaya (papaya)
Lineage: Eukaryota; Viridiplantae; Streptophyta; Magnoliopsida; Brassicales; Caricaceae
Description: long non-coding RNA (CPAP_LNC011163)
Source: RNAcentral
AAGGUGGGUCGGCAGCCAUGGAAGACGCAGUGGUGUUAGCGAAGUGUUUGGCGAAAAAGCUUGAUUCAAAACAAAAGAUUGAAGAAGCUUUGGACGAGUAUAUAAAAGAAAGAAGGAUGAGACUGGUUUGGCUGUCUACACAAACCUAUCUUGUUGGUUCGUUGCUUGAUACUUCCUCGUUAAUUAAGAAAAUAUUUAUUAUGAUUUUCAUGGCUGUGCUCUUCCGCGACCCAAAUGCUCAUACCAAGUAUGAUUGUGGACGCCUCUAAUUCUAAUAUAUUCCGGAUUAAACUUCAAAUUUUUUGAUCAAAAUUACAAUAAAAGGUAUAAGUAUCUGUUAAACACUAGUAAAUUGUAUGUUGUACGCUGUUAUUUAUUAUUAUUUCAGUGGUGGAUGCUUACCCAUUAAAUAUUUUUCAAGUUCAAUAAAUUCUUAGAUUUAAAUCAAUAAUCUUUAUUUGUAGUGUGUAAAUUUGUAAGUGUGGCAUUCUCUCUUUAAAUAUUAUUUAUUUUUCUCUUUGGUUGUGAUGUUAAGUAUGAAUUUUGAGAUUAAUUUAUUGAAAGAUAUAUAAUGUGUGUGUAUAUAAUAGCCCGACCCUCAAUAUUGAUGGAUACAAACGCUUACACACUAUUUUCAAUUACCGAAAUCAAUAAAUAUUAUAUAUACAACAUAACUAUACAUUGAUACACUUAUCUUCUCACAAAAUAAUUUGUUCACAAAUAUAAGAGGCAUCAUAAUUAAUUACAAAUUUAAAAUAAAAAAUAAUAAGGUUUUUUUAUUGAUCCUGAGACUUGCAGGUUAUGGAUUCACCGUUGACUAGUUAAAAUUUAUCUUUGAGUAGGAUUCUCUAAUUUAGCUAUUGUAUAAUCCUAAUAUUUAGGAAUAAGUCAAUUACCUCUUAUCUUGUUGGCUGUUCCUAUUUUGUAUCAAUCUUGAGUAUUUAUACUAUAAGUUUUGUUUAAAAAAGUGUACAACUCGUUGAAAUAAAAUAUGAAAAGUUUUUUAUUUUUCUAUCUCAGCAAGUGUUUGCUAAAAUUCCUCUUAAAUAUAUUUUUUUAUUUUUCAAUCCUAAAAUCAACAAUUGGUAUCAUAACUUCUUUGAAACAUUUUUGCAACAGGUGAGGAAGAGAAAAUUACAGUAAGCUAGUGAAGGAGACAAGCAGAGUUGAUGGCAACUGAAGCAACAUUUGUGCAACUAGUCAUUCCACACUUUGAUGGCCAUUAUGAUCACUAGUGCAUGCUGAUGGAAAAUUUUUUGAGGUCCAAGGAGUACUGGAACGUUGUUGAAUCUGGUGUAGCAGAACCAGUGGCUGGAACUAUGUUGACACAGCAGUAAAAAAAAGAAUAUAAGGCAUUAAAGUUGAAGGAUCUCAAAGCAAAGAACAAUCUCUUUCAAGCAAUUGAUCAAUCUACCUUGGAAACAAUUCUUUGUAAAGAUACGUCCAAAAAACAUCUGAGACUCAAUGAAGAAAAAAUAUCAAGGGGAUGCAAAGGCAAAGAGAAUGCAACUCCAAGCACUUCGUGCAGAAUUUGAAGCGCUACAUAUGAAGACUGGAGAAUUAGUAGAUGAUUUCUUCUCUNNNNNNNNNNNNNNNNNNNNNNNNNNNNNNNNNNNNNNNNNNNNNNNNNNNNNNNNNNNNNNNNNNNNNNNNNNNNNNNNNNNNNNNNNNNNNNNNNNNNNNNNNNNNNNNNNNNNNNNNNNNNNNNNNNNNNNNNNNNNNNNNNNNNNNNNNNNNNNNNNNNNNNNNNNNNNNNNNNNNNNNNNNNNNNNNNNNNNNNNNNNNNNNNNNNNNNNNNNNNNNNNNNNNNNNNCAAUGUGAAAAUCUGUACCAAAAAAAAUACUAAUAAAACAAUUUCAAAUGUUUUCUUUAUUCCAGAUCUAAAGACUAAUCUACUAAGUAUUGAUUAACUCUAAGAGAAGGAAUAUAAGAUUCUAAUUAAGGCUUGAGUUUGCAAUGUUGAAGAUGAAAAUUUGGGCUUGAUUGCUAAAGUCAGAAUGACAACAAAUCGAAUGUUUCCACUUUAUCUUCAAAAUACCACUUCUUCAUGUUUCUUUUCAAGAUUGAAAGAGGUGGCUUGGCUUUGGCAUUUCUGAUAUGCUCACCUAAAUUUUGGUGGUUUGAAAACUCUACAGCAAAAGUAGAUGAUGGCAGAACUUCCAUAAUUUGAUUGUCCAUCAGAUGUUUGUAAAGAUUGUGUUGUUAGUAAACAACACUGUAACACUUUUCCCAAAAGAAAUUCUUGGAGAGCAAAGAAAGUUUUAGAACUGGUGCACUCUGAUAUUUGCGGCCCAAUUAAUCGAUCUUUAAAUGGAGGUAAAAAAUAUAUAAUCAUCUUUAUUGAUUAUUAUAGUCGAAAAAUUUGGGUUUAUUUUUUGCAGGAAAAAUCGAAGCUUUUGUCCUUUUAAAAAGCUUUAAAGCACUUGUUAAGAAAAAGAUUGGAAGUCUAAUAAAAAUUCUUCAAACAGACCGUGGUGGAGAAUAUAACUCAUAGGAAUUUAUAAAAUUUUGUAAGUCUGAUGGCAUUAAAAGGCAACUUACAACAACAUACACACAUGAGCAAAAUGGUGUUUGCGAGAGAAAAAAUCGUACCAUUUUGAAUAUGGUUCGAAGUCUGUUAAAAAGGAGUGACAUUCCAAAAAAAAUUUGGCCUGAAGCAAUUAAUUGGAGUAUCUAUGUUUUGAACAGAUCUUCCACAUUUGCUGUUCAAAACAUGAGUCCGGAAGAAGCUUGGAAUGGAUAUAAACCAUUAGUAUAAUACUUUAAAGUUUUUGGAUGCAUUGCUUAUGCUCAUGUUCCAUAUGAAAAAAGGAAGAAGUUAGAUGACAAAUGAGAAAAAUGCAUUUUUUUUUAGUGUUAGUGAUCAUUCUAAAGUCUACAAGUUGUAUAAUCCUAUCAUUAAAAAAAAUUUAUUAGCCAUGACGUGAUUUUUGAUGAAGCAAACCUUUGGAAAUGGGAUAAAAAAAUUAUUCAACAAUAAAUUCUAGUUGAUUUUAUUGCUGAAAACGAAGAAAGACAACAACCUUUGGUGAAUGAUCAUCACAUGACCAAUGAGGAACAACCAUUGGUUACUCAAACCCCUCCCAACGACGAUGAACAACGACCUCAAAGAGUUAGGAGAAAGCCAACAUAGAUGACUGAUUAUGAGGUAACUGGAAUUGAAGAACCACUAACCCAUUUUGCUUUUUUCUCAAAUUAUGAUCUUAUGUCUUUUGAAAAAAAUUAUAAAAUAGUCAAAAUAGAGGAAGACAAUGGAUGAUGAGAUAGCUGCCAUUGAAAAAAAUAGUACUUGGGAGUUGGUUAAACUUCCAAAAUGCCAAAAAUCCAUUGGAGUAAAGUGAGUCUACAAAACAAAGUUAAAUGAAAAAUGAGAAGUUGAUAAAUUCAAAGCACGUUUGAUUGCUAAAGGCUACAAACAAGAGUUUGGGAUGGAUUAUAUCAAAGUUUUUACACUGGUAACAAAGCAUGACACAGUUAGAAUGAUUAUUGCAUUAGCAACUCAAAAUUCAUGGCCUGUUUUCCAACUAGACGUGAAAUCGGCUUUCUUACAUGGAGAUCUAAAUGAUCAGAUAUUUAUUGAACAACCUCCAGGUUAUAUUAAAGUUGGAAAUAAACAUGAAGUGUAUAGACUAAAGAAUUUCUUGUAUGGUUUAAAACAAGCACCUGGGGUUGGUAUGGUCGAAAUGAAACUUAUUUUUUGAAGGAAGGUUUUUAAAAAUGUCCGUAUGAACACACACUUUUUAUAAAAUUAGAAGAUGAUGGGAGGGUGCUUAUGGUUUGUCUUUAUAUAGAUGAUUUAAUUUAUACCGAUAAUGAUAUAACCAUGUUUGAAAAGUUUAAGAAGUCUAUGAUGAUCGAGUUUGACAUGAGCGAUCUUGAAUUGAUGCGAUACUUUCUUGGCAUAGACGUGACUCAAUCUGCUGGUGGCAUAUUCAUUUCUCAAGAAAAGUAUAUGCAGGAAGUCUUGAGCAAGUUUCAAAUGAAGAAUUGCAAUCCUACUAGUACUCUAAUGGAUACAAGAAUGAAGCUUGUUAAAAAUCCUGAAGGAAAGACGGUAGACAACACUAUUUACAAGCAAAUUGAGGGAAGCUUGAUGUAUUAAACCACCACAAGGCCAUAUAUUAUGUGUGAUAUGAGCAAAAUCAGCAUAUACAUGGAAAGUCCUAAGGAAGUACAUCUUAUUGCUGCAAAAAGAAUUCUCUGAAACUUGCAAGGUACUUCUAAAUAUGAACUGUUCUACAGGAAUGAUGAAAAAUCAAAUCUAUUUGGUUUCACGGAUAGUGAUCAUGCUAGAGAUUUAGAUGAUAGAAAAAAUAUAACUGGUUAUGUUUUCUUAAUGGGAACAACAACAAUUUCAUGGUUUUAUAAAAAACAAUCAAUAGUAACAUUAUCAACAAUUGAAGUCGAAUAUAUAGCUGUUCUACCCUGUGCUUGUCAAACAGUCUGGUUAAGAAAGAUUCUUGAUGAGCUUCACUUCAAGCAAGAAUGACCUACUUUUAUCUACUGUGAUAAUGAAUCAGCAAUUAAAUUAUCUAAAAAUCCUGUUCUACAUAGAAAAAGUAAACAUAUAGAUGUGAAAUUUCACUUCCUAAGAGAUCUUAUAAAACAAAGAGUAAUUGAUCUCAACUAUUGCAAGAGUGAAGAUAUAUAUUUUACCGGCGGUUUGUGGUUAAGUGUAUUUUUAUAGUUUAUCUCAAGUCAACCUGAAUAUACAUACAUAAGUACAUACACUGAGACUGACACUAAAAAAUAGAGAAAAACAGAGAUAGUAAGAAUUCAUAUGCAAUUUCAAUACGUAAAAUUAAAAUUCAAGUAAAUUGUGUUCAAAGUGACUACUGACUUGGCUUGUUUAAUAUAUCUUAAUUUAAAUAUAAGAAUUUUGAUUGAUCAAUUUAUUAAUUAAAAUGUCAACAAAUGUUUUGAGAAAAUUAUAUAACUGAUGAUAUAUAUAUAAAAAAAAAAGAAGCAUGCAGCAGAAAACAUUAUAAAAAUUCUGAAUUUAAGUAGACAAAUUUAAUUAAAAUUGGUAUCUAAAACAAAUUAGAUGAUGUUUUGGUUGACAAGGAAUUAGAAGUUUCCAAGAAAGAGAAAUGGAGAAGGAUCAGUCAACAAGAAAGAAAACAAGUCAACCCAAAAUAAUAAGACGAAUUCUGACACAUGUCUGAUUAAAAUUUAAUUUAAUUUAAAUAAAAUAAUAUUCUUUUUUUACUUUCAACAAAUUUAAGGUUAGAGAUUUAAUAUAUUAUACUUUAAAGAAAAUAAAAUAAAAUAUUACCGUAUCACAAAAGUUUAUUAUGUUAUUUUUAUCAAUUUGAAAGUUACAGUAAUAUAUAUAAUUUUAAUAUCAACUCAUUCAAAAUUUAUGACAAAAUAAAUUUUUGUCCCCUUUUUUUUUAUUUAUAUAUUAUAGUCUAAGUUAAGGGACUAAGCUUUUUCCCUUCGCCAACAAAGCUUUGUUUGUUUGACAAGGAAAUGAGAAAAGUCUCCAUGACCAACAGACAGGUGACGACAAAGUCAACCUGACUUUAUACGCACGCACAUAUAAUAUAUAUAUAUAUAUAUACAUAUACAUACCCACAUACGCCUCCACAAAGUACACAUAGUUUUGUUGAUAAUUACUGAAGAAGAAAAGAAAGAAAGAUCGAUGAGUAUAAUUGGCAAAAGGAAAGAGGAGGAAGAAAUGGAAGAGAUUGAGAUAGUAAUAGCAGGUGGUGGCAUAUGCGGUCUGGCAACUGCUUUGGCUCUUCACAGGUUUCUUAUAAUUAUUUUUAAUAUAUAAAAAAUAUUUAACGUUUUAUAAAAAUUGAAACUCUAUAUAUAUAUAUAUAUAUAUAUAUAAUAUGUAUAAUUACUUAACUGGGAUGCAGGAAAGGGAUAAAGAGUGUGAUUCUGGAAAGAGCAGAAUGUGUUCGUGCGACGGGAUCUGCCAUCGGUGUCUUCCCAAAUGGGUGGCGAGCUCUUGACCAACUUGGUGUUGGCUCUGAUCUCCGCCCAACUGCCGUCCCACUUCUCGGGUAUAUCUCUCUCGCUCUCUCUCUCUAAACAUAUACAUAUACAUAUACAUACAGAUACGCAUAUAUAUAUAUAUAUAUCAUGCUCCACCUUUGGUCUCUUUUCUUAUCUUUCUGUAAAACAUAUGAAUUAUGAAUACACAAUUUUUUUUUUUUCUCGAAAAGAUGGGUAUACAAUAUUUAACACCCACAAUUGUAUAUACGAAAACAGGGUAAGGGAUGUAUCGCUUCACAACGGCAAGCGGCGUGAAUCAACUUUUUCGCUUACCUCGUACGUUGACAAGCCCAUAUACAAUAUAUAUAUAAGCUUUUCAUUUUUCGUUGAAGAUUAUGUUUUUAAGAGGAUAUUAUUUGACAUAAACUACAUAUAUUGUCAGAGUUGGGGAAGGUCGGUGCCUGAAACGGAGUGAUCUAGUCAAAGCACUCGCCAAUCAUCUUCCAUCUGGCACCAUUCGCUUUAAUUCACAAAUCGUUUCAGUGGAGUUGGACCCUUUGUCUUCCUACCCUAUUCUUCACCUCAAAGAUGGAACAACCAUUAGAGCCAAGGUAUAUAUAUAUUAUAUACACAUAUACUGUAAUACACAUACAACAGAAAACAUAUUUUCUUAAAUGUGUAUAUUUAACAUUAAUUAAUUCCACACCUGGGUAUAUAUAAAUAGGUUUUGAUCGGAUGUGAUGGGGCCAAUUCAGUAAUAGGUGACUUUCUGGGACUAAAGCCAAAAAAGGUAUUCAGUUCAUUGGCUGUGAGAGGUCUUACAGAGUUUGCAAACCGCCACGGAUUGCCCAUUGAGGGCGUAAGAAUUAGAAGGGGCAACACCAUGUCGGGAGGAGUUCCUCUCAACGAUCACCUACUCUAUUGGUUCUUACUUCACAAAUGGAAUCCUACCGGUAAUUAUUGUUAAAUUUCAAUCUCUACAUGUUUAAAAACAAUCGAUCAAAAUCUCUGAAUCAUGUUUUUGUUUAUGAGUUUCGACUAUAGAUCUUGCAAAAGUGGCACAUGAUCCGGAGCUGAUACAAAAAAUGGCUAUAGAAACAUUAAUCGAGCACAAAUUUCCAGCAGAAAGAAUAGAGAUAGUCAAAAGGUGUGAUCUAAAUUCAUUAUCGCUCACUCACUUGAGAUAUAGGUCACCAUGGGAGGUGCUGUUGGGAAACUUUCGGAAAGGGACGGUAACAGUGGCGGGAGAUGCAAUGCACGUGAUGGGUCCAUUUUUAGGUCAAGGUGGCUCCGCAGCCAUGGAAGACGCAGUGGUGUUAGCGAGGUGUUUGGCAGGAAAGCUUGGUUCAAAACAAAAGAUUGAAGAAGCUUUGGACGAGUAUAUAAAAGAAAGAAGGAUGAGACUGGUUUGGCUGUCAACACAAACCUAUCUUGUUGGCUCGUUGCUUGAUACUUCCUCGUUAAUUAAGAAAAUCUUUAUUAUGAUUUUCAUGGCUCUGCUCUUCCGCAACCCAACUGCUCAUGCCAAAUAUGAUUGCGGACGCCUCUAAUUCUAAUAAAUUCCGGAUUUAACUU